Molecule: ribosomal RNA, 406 nt
Filed under: uncultured bacterium
Lineage: Bacteria
Description: partial 16S ribosomal RNA
Rfam family: Bacterial small subunit ribosomal RNA
Source: RNAcentral
AUUGAACGCUGGCGGCAGGCCUAACACAUGCAAGUCGAGCGGGAGGCGGACGGGUGAGGAAUAUGUGUGAAACUGCCUGAGGGAGAGGGAGAACAACAGGAGACGGUAUCUAAUACAGCAUCCACUCUGAGGUGCCCCGAUGGGGUUAGCUAGUAGGUGGGGGAACGGCUCAACUAGGCGACGAUCCCUAGCUGGUCUGAGAGGAUGACCAGCCACACUGGAACUGAGACACGGUCCAGACUCCUACGGUAGGCAGCAGUGGGGAAUAUUGCACAAUGGGCGCAAGCCUGAUGCAGCCAUGCCGCGUGUGUGAAGAAGGCCUUCGGGUUGUAAAGCACUUUCAGCGGGGAGGCGUUACCCGCAGAAGAAGCACCGGCUAACUCCGUGCCAGCAGCCGCGGUAAUAC